RNAcentral lists this transfer RNA (63 nucleotides) under Drepanopeziza brunnea f. sp. 'multigermtubi'. RNAcentral describes it as "Marssonina brunnea f. sp. 'multigermtubi' tRNA-Cys". Lineage: Eukaryota; Fungi; Ascomycota; Leotiomycetes; Helotiales; Drepanopezizaceae. The record is from RNAcentral.
GGACAUGAAGUAGAUGGUUAUACUUUAUUGCAGAUAUUAAGAGGUUCGAUUCCUCCAUGUCCC